GGGGGAGUGAAGGGGUAGGCAGUGGUGUCGUAUCGAAUAUCAUUGAUUUAGAAGUUAUCUUUUCAAACUUUAAAGAAACUGUUAUAAUCAGCUUUUAAAAUGGUGUAAUCCGAUGCCCCAAAAAGCAAUCAUAAAGCGAUAGUAAAAUAACUCACAAUUGAUAAAGAUAUAACAUAAUCAUAAUACAUAAACAAUAUAUUUUAUCAAAUUGGAAAACGGAACACUCAACUACAUGUUUUAUACGAACAUAUCCGAUAAAUAUUGUUUUUAGAAAAAAAAAAAUGUUACAUA
RNAcentral lists this long non-coding RNA (291 nucleotides) under Mytilus galloprovincialis (Mediterranean mussel). Lineage: Eukaryota; Metazoa; Mollusca; Bivalvia; Mytilida; Mytilidae. The record is from RNAcentral.